CCUAGCAUCUGGAUGGUUGGGAACAUUAGCAGUAUGGGCAUAGGACUUCAUUUUAGGAGCAGUAGAUGUUGCAAAAGUAGCCUUUCCUCUUAGGUGAGUGGCCAUAGAUCUCCACAAAUUCUGCAACGUUGAAAUAAGACGGUCAAGCCAUGUCAUGUACUUCAAAAACACACACUAGAUAAAAACAGGAAGCAAUAUACAGUUUAGUAGCAAUACUUUCUGAACUUCUGUAUGCCAUGAUGAUUGAAAGUCUGGAGAUUAAUUGAUACGAAUAUAUAUUUUUAGAGGCUUAAGGGAAAGGGAAAAUUAAGUCGGUUUUAACUUGCUGUUAUUGUGUCCAAUAUUUG
Molecule: long non-coding RNA, 347 nt
Filed under: Nicotiana tabacum (common tobacco)
Lineage: Eukaryota; Viridiplantae; Streptophyta; Magnoliopsida; Solanales; Solanaceae
Description: long non-coding RNA (NTAB_LNC016868)
Source: RNAcentral